This 69-nucleotide transfer RNA is filed under the name Xenopeltis unicolor. Its description in RNAcentral is "tRNA-Arg". Lineage: Eukaryota; Metazoa; Chordata; Lepidosauria; Squamata; Xenopeltidae. The record is from RNAcentral.
ACAAGGGUAGUCUACAUCAGACAUCUGAUUUCGACCCAGAAGACCCUUAUAUUAUUUUAAGCCCUUGCA